Long non-coding RNA from Ipomoea triloba (trilobed morning glory), 179 nucleotides. RefSeq lists it as uncharacterized. The transcript is spliced from 2 exons. Lineage: Eukaryota; Viridiplantae; Streptophyta; Magnoliopsida; Solanales; Convolvulaceae. The record is from RefSeq and is a predicted model, not a curated record.
UACCAAAGGGGAAUCAAUUCAAUACAUUUGAAAAGAGUUCUUACGAAGGGAAUGAUGGCCUACGUGGAUAUCCAAUGACAAAAGAUUGUGGGAAUGGUGUCUCAUCUCAACCACCUACCCUAGAAGUGCUCCAUCAAGAAGACAAUAAUUGUUGAAGAAGAAGGAUACAAAAUUAUGAG